CACAGAAUGUCAACAGGGCUUUUUCCAGAUGAAUCUGAUAUAAAACCCCAAACCAAGCUUCUUUACCAACUACCAGCAUCUCUGACCUGCUCUUUCUCCAUAUUGUCGGACCUCCUUUGACCAAGUUCAGUUUGGUCCCUUAUGUGAGGUUGUGGGUGGCUAAACGAAACUGGACUGCUACUGAGUCACGUAUGAAGAGGAUGAGGAGAUGCACCUGGCCAUGGUUGGGAUAUACUAAACAACUAGUAAGCCUGAUCAUCACCAACAAGCCAGCAAGGUCUCUGUGGCGGCAUCCUGGUGAUGGCUGAUGAAUGUGGACAUGACAACGAUGCAGUUUGGAGUUACCUUGCAGGUAUUUGUUAGACCGGCUCAUGGUGCUGCGAACCAGUUUUUGCUUCCACGUCCAUACACAGAUCACCCGUUACUACAUGGAAUGUGGAACAAUGUGGACAACUGCUGUCGACAAGCCGUCCCAAAUCAUCUUCCAUCUGCCGCCUCCGAACCAGAGAGACGGGUUCAAAUACGUAUUGUUAAAGACAUGUGGAUCUCUUUGCUCUCAUGUGGCGUCUGAACUCUUUUUGGCAGGAAAAACGAUCCAUCAUCCUCGAGCCAUUCUGAGCGAUCGGGAUACAAGCAGCGAGAACUUACGGUGGAAUGGGAGAGUGGGUGGAGCGCGUGAGAGUGGGGUCUGCAGCUGAAUGAAAGUCUCUGCAGGAUGAGGCUAUACUGCAGAGCAGCAUGAAGUAAAAGUUGUUAUGAGUUGCUGUUUGAUGCCUGAUGCAGCAGCAGCUGAGACUGCAGAUACUGACAGUUCCACUUCAUAAAGGACGCCACUAAUCCCUGGCCUUGCUCUCUGGGACUGAAUUCAAACGUCUGCCCUGUGGACCUGCAGACUUUCAACUGUUAGCAGAAUAUGGUGGAAGGUUGCUUGUUGGACGCAUCAAAAUAAUUUAAACAGUCAUGUUUUAUUCUUGGCUUGAAAAGUCAACAUGUACAGAGCUGACCUUUUUCUUUAUUACUUUUGCAGCCCACUCAUACAGAGAAAAAAGUGCUCAAAGAAAAGCGUGAUGAAGGUUGCAGUGAAAUGAUGAUGUGAUGUGGUAUCUUUUAGGUGCAGCAGAUUCUGUGCAUGGAAGAACAUUUUUAUACGAAGCACUGAUGGCUGUACGGUUUGCUGUUAGAUACAACUCAAAGCUCUCGUGUGACCUGGUCUGUCCCUGUCCUGAUGAUACAGUAUGACACCAAAAUUAUAGUGGCCAACAAUUUUACAUCAGGACCAGAGAUUCAACAUUCAUCACAAAGAAGUUCUCUGGAAUUUCUCUCCUUUUGCUCUGCAGUAAGUCCCUUCACUGGUGGUUUCUUUCCUUUCUCUUUACAUUUCUUUGGUGAUACAUAUGUACCAAAGCUGGUUGACUAAGUUAGAAAAUUAGAUACCUGCAUAAGAUUAAGAAGCACAAUCCACUCCUCACGAGCCAUCUGUGUGUCACUUAGUGGCUGAAACAAUGGGCUCUUUUCACUGAGUCUACAUUGAUAUGUAAAUGUUUCCAGAAACAGAACAUGGCUGCAUGAUUCUCUGGAGACUGAGCUGCUUGAAUUGUUUUUCUCAGGCAAUAUCGAGCAAGAUUUCUUCCCUCCCAUGAGAGGGCAGAGGCUCACUUCUGCUCUGGCUUUAUCCGCUCUGCUCCAAGAGAACACGAGCAUGUUGUAACGGAUAAACAAUUAGGCAAAAUUUUGUUUAUUCUCAAUUUACUGCAGGCUGCUGGUUUUCAUAUGUUCAGUAAAAAUAUGCUUUGGGGAGGAGAAAGGUAGUAAAAUCUUUGAAUGAAACUCUUACUGGCUUAACAUUUUAUUGUUCACAGCACAAACUGCCUGGUAGGCAAAAGCUUCAUGAUCUCCUGAUCUUCACAUAUAUGAAAACUGUCCUUCCUUUUUAUGUGCAAUGCAUGAAUAAGAAAAGGAUACA
This is a long non-coding RNA of Melanotaenia boesemani (Boeseman's rainbowfish), 1963 nucleotides long. RefSeq lists it as uncharacterized. The record is from RefSeq and is a predicted model, not a curated record. The transcript is spliced from 5 exons. NCBI's taxonomy places the organism in Eukaryota, Metazoa, Chordata, Actinopteri, Atheriniformes, Melanotaeniidae.